GAUGAACGCUGGCGGCGUGCCUAAUACAUGCAAGUCGAGCGAACAGACGAGGAGCUUGCUCCUUUGACGUUAGCGGCGGACGGGCGAGUAACACGUGGAUAACCUACUUAUAAUACUGGGAUAACUUCGGGAAACCGGUGCCAAUACCGGAUAAUAUAUUGAACCGCAUGGUGCAAUAGAUAAAGACGGCUUUGCUGUCACUAUUAGAUGGAUCCGCGCCGGAUUAGCGAGUUGGUAAGGUAACGGCUUACCAAGGCGACGAUGCGUAGCCGACCUGAGAGGGUGAUCAGCCACACUGGAACUGAGACACGGUCCAGACUCCUACGGGAGGCAGCAGUAGGGAAUAUUCCGCAAUGGGCGAAAGCCUGACGGAGCAACGCCGCGUGAGUGAUGAAGGUCUUCGGAUCGUAAAACUCUGUUAUUAGGGAAGAACAAAUGUGUAAGUAACUCUGCACGUCUUGACGGUACCUAAUCAGAAAGCCACGGCUAACUACGUG
This 497-nucleotide ribosomal RNA is filed under the name uncultured bacterium. Its description in RNAcentral is "partial 16S ribosomal RNA". It matches the Rfam family "Bacterial small subunit ribosomal RNA", at positions 28 to 507 of the family's 1533-position model. The record is from RNAcentral.